Molecule: ribosomal RNA, 259 nt
Filed under: uncultured bacterium
Lineage: Bacteria
Description: partial 16S ribosomal RNA
Rfam family: Bacterial small subunit ribosomal RNA
Source: RNAcentral
CAGAGGGUGCGAGCGUUAAUCGGAAUUACUGGGCGUAAAGCGAGUGUAGGUGGCUCAUUAAGUCACAUGUGAAAAUCCCCGGGCUUAACCUGGGAACUGCAUGUGAUACUGGUGGUGCUAGAAAUAUGUGAGAGGGAAGUAAGAAUUCCAGGUGUAGCGGUGAAAAUGCGUAGAGAUCUGGAGGAAUACCGAUGGCGAAGGCAGCUUCCUGGCAUAAUAUUGACACUGAGAUUCGAAAGCGUGGUAGGCAAACAGGAUU